AUGAUGAAUACAUUCGAACCAGAGGCAUGGGGAAAAUACUCGGAGAGUCGAAGGUUACAUCGUGUUGUCAAGAAAAGUAGUAGAAUUGAGAGAGAAGAGAGAGAGGAAGUUGAUGAAGAGGUUCAAAGAGAAAGAUCGACAAUGUUGCUUGAAGAUGAUGCAAAGAAAAACUCAGAUUUUCAGAGACUGCAAAGAGAAACGUGA
This is a non-coding RNA of Vicia faba (fava bean), 204 nucleotides long. The record is from the annotation of a GenBank genome assembly. Lineage: Eukaryota; Viridiplantae; Streptophyta; Magnoliopsida; Fabales; Fabaceae.